RNAcentral lists this ribosomal RNA (744 nucleotides) under Staphylococcus aureus. Its description in RNAcentral is "bacterial SSU rRNA". It matches the Rfam family "Bacterial small subunit ribosomal RNA", at positions 23 to 749 of the family's 1533-position model. Lineage: Bacteria; Bacillati; Bacillota; Bacilli; Caryophanales; Staphylococcaceae. The record is from RNAcentral.
GCCAGGAUGAACGCUGGCGGCGUGCCUAAUACAUGCAAGUCGAGCGAACGGACGAGAAGCUUGCUUCUCUGAUGUUAGCGGCGGACGGGUGAGUAACACGUGGAUAACCUACCUAUAAGACUGGGAUAACUUCGGGAAACCGGAGCUAAUACCGGAUAAUAUUUUGAACCGCAUGGUUCAAAAGUGAAAGACGGUCUUGCUGUCACUUAUAGAUGGAUCCGCGCUGCAUUAGCUAGUUGGUAAGGUAACGGCUUACCAAGGCAACGAUGCAUAGCCGACCUGAGAGGGUGAUCGGCCACACUGGAACUGAGACACGGUCCAGACUCCUACGGGAGGCAGCAGUAGGGAAUCUUCCGCAAUGGGCGAAAGCCUGACGGAGCAACGCCGCGUGAGUGAUGAAGGUCUUCGGAUCGUAAAACUCUGUUAUUAGGGAAGAACAUAUGUGUAAGUAACUGUGCACAUCUUGACGGUACCUAAUCAGAAAGCCACGGCUAACUACGUGCCAGCAGCCGCGGUAAUACGUAGGUGGCAAGCGUUAUCCGGAAUUAUUGGGCGUAAAGCGCGCGUAGGCGGUUUUUUAAGUCUGAUGUGAAAGCCCACGGCUCAACCGUGGAGGGUCAUUGGAAACUGGAAAACUUGAGUGCAGAAGAGGAAAGUGGAAUUCCAUGUGUAGCGGUGAAAUGCGCAGAGAUAUGGAGGAACACCAGUGGCGAAGGCGACUUUCUGGUCUGUAACUGACGCUGA